RNAcentral lists this long non-coding RNA (1563 nucleotides) under Salmo salar (Atlantic salmon). RNAcentral's name for it is "lncRNA (ENSSSAG00000111504.1)". The record is from RNAcentral. Lineage: Eukaryota; Metazoa; Chordata; Actinopteri; Salmoniformes; Salmonidae.
CUCUAGUACUGUCCCAGAGGUUGACCACUAGAGGGUGGUAGUGCUCCAUCACAUUACCCUGCUGUAGUCCUCUAGUACUGUCUCAGAGGUUGACCACUAGAGGGUGGUAGUGCUCCAUCACAUUCCCCUGUUGUAGUCUAGUACUGUCUCAGAGGUUGACCACUAGAGGGUGAUAGUGCUCCAGCACAUUACCCUGCUGUAGUCUAGUACUGUCUCAGGAAGAUUGUGUGGAGAGAGAGCUGGGAAAGAGCUGUAAGGGAACAUCUAGCGUACACUAGGGUACAACAUCUAGGGUACAUCUAGGGAACAUCUAGGGUACACUAGGGUACAACAUCUAGGGAACAUCUAGGGUACACUAGAGUACAACAUCUAGGGAACAUCUAGGGUACACUAGGGUACAACAUCUAGGGAACAUCUAGGGUACACUAGGGUACAACAUCUAGGGAACAUCUAGGGUACACUAGGGUACUACAUCUAGGGAACAUCUAGGGUACACUAGGGUACAACAUCUAGGGAACAUCUAGGGUACACUAGGGUACAACAUCUAGGGAACAUCUAGGGUACACUAGGGUACAACAUCUAGGGUACACUAGGGUACAUCUAGGGUACAACAUCUAGGGUACACUAGGGCACAUCUAGGGUACAACGUCUAGGGUACACUAGGGCACAUCUAGGGUACAACAUCUAGGGUACACUAGGGUACAUCUAGGGUACAACAUCUAGGGUACAUCUAGGGUACACUAGGGUACAACAUCUAGGGUACAACAUCUAGGGAACAUCUAGAGCACAAUAUCUAGGGUACAAUAUCUAGGGUACAAUAUCUAGGGUAUAAGAUCUAGGGUACAAGAUCUAGAAAAAAAUAAGUGUCUCACUUUCUUUUCCUGUCCACCCCUCCAAAACUAUAUGAAAGGGGUUUGAUAUCUGGACUGUUAUGAAAGGUGUUUGAUAUCUGGACUGAUAUGAAAGGUGAUUGAUAUCUAGACUGAUAUGAAAGGUGAUUGAUAUCUGAACUGAUAUGAAAAGUGAUUGAUAUCUGGACUGAUAUGAAAGGGGUUUGAUAUCUGGACUGAUAUGAAAGGGGUUUGAUAUCUGGACUGAUAUGAAAGGGGUUUGAUAUCUGGACUGAUAUGAAAGGUGACUGAUAUCUGGACUGAUAUGAAAAGUGAUUGAUAUCUGGACUGAUAUGAAAAGUGAUUGAUAUCUGGACUGAUAUGAAAGGGAAUUGCUAUCUUUGUUCAAAUGUUGCUGUUUUUGGUUUUGAAAUCUGAUUUUCUCCUCUUUUUCCUGUACAUCCAUCCCCCUUUCUGACCUCCUCUCCCUUUGAACUAUAGUUUUGAACUAUAGUUGGAAUCAGUCAAAUUAUUUGUUAAAUUGUACAUAUUUUUUUUAUUGGUCCAGUUGGUUUCACAUUGGCAAAGGUCAAUCAAAAUAAAAUUCCUAAACAAAACCAUGUGUCCAUGCAAGUAAAUUGUUUAUUGGACAAAAAUUCUCACGUUAAAUCCAUUCAUGAUUAUCAUGAAGCGUCACUUGUGUGUCCCAGUCUACAUAUUACUUUCGCUUUAG